Molecule: long non-coding RNA, 236 nt
Filed under: Manihot esculenta (cassava)
Lineage: Eukaryota; Viridiplantae; Streptophyta; Magnoliopsida; Malpighiales; Euphorbiaceae
Description: long non-coding RNA (MESC_LNC006705)
Source: RNAcentral
UGGGAUUCAGUCCAGUUUCUGUCUCUGUCGCUGCAAGUGAUUUGCCCAGUUUCUUCGAGUGAUUUGGGCAAAUCACUGGGCAAAUCAUAUUUGCUGUCAUUUUCUGCACUUUUUCUCCAACUCUUCAAUUUCUUCCUUUUCUACAAAAACAUAACAAAAACACAAUUUAAGCUAGAAAAAUGUAUAAAUAAACAGUAAAUAAUAUAUUAAAAACAUGGCUAAAUUAUGCUUGGUCA